Molecule: long non-coding RNA, 1528 nt
Organism: Zea mays
Lineage: Eukaryota; Viridiplantae; Streptophyta; Magnoliopsida; Poales; Poaceae
Exons: 2
Source: RefSeq, a predicted model, not a curated record
UAGAGCCGAUCCACACGUCUCCCUAAUCCUCUCCCCACACAAACAUUAUCUUCAUCCCACACGUCACCCUCUCUUCUUGAGAGCAUGCCGCCCCAUCUCCUUUCCCCCAUGGCACCCAUCUCUUCCCUGCUGCUUCUCCUGGCCGAGCUGCUCCACCAUCCGCUGCUGCUCCAAAACUCAGUGCCGACCACCAUCUCCCAUGGCGCAGGAGCUCCCCAUCCUCCUCUUGCCAGGGCGCCGUUGCUGAGCUCGCCCUGCCCCCAGCCAUGGACGUCGUCAGGCCACCUGUUUCCUAUCUUCCAUGGACGCCAAUAGCAGCAGCCCACUCCUUUUGUUCUCCAUGGAUGAAAGCCCAAGCAUCUGCGCCUCCCCUAGGUUUUUGUACAAUCGCAGCAGCACGUCGGACCUUUGCAACCCCGGUGAGACCAGCUGCUUGCGCUAUGUUUAUUCCCCACCAAUUCCUAUAUUUGAUUAUUUACUGUGUAUGUUUGUGUGUUUGUGGUGGAGGUAAAUCCUAGGAAAUUUAGAUGAGAAGAAAGCUUUAGCGAGACGCUUGCCAAGUGCUUGGUGAAUCGCCUCAACCGGAUGUGGUUGUCGAUCUCGCGGAGUCGAGUCGAGUUUAGUCGUGGUACGUUAAUUAAUCACGUGAUGUGAAGGACAAGAGCUGGAUUAAUCACAAGACGAUGCUGAUGGACGAAGCUAAAGUGGAUGAAUCAACCAAGUGCCAGGAUGGGAGAUACUCACCAAGUGAUCGUCAUUUAACAACACUAACAUAGUGUUAUCCCAGGCAAGCCCCGGUGCAUUUGCCACCUCCUUCUGUUUUAAAAACUUUUAUCACUUACCUGCUGCAUUAGGUGAUAGGAGUUGUGUGAAUAAACAAUUGAUGCAUUACCAUUCCUUGGAAUUUGAUUAUCCUCCUUGCUACCUGUUUUAUAAAGAGAACUAAUGAGGCUUAGCCCUGCCUAGAGAACUAAAACUUGAUUCUUUUUAAAAGAAUGCUGUGUAACACUGGGUAUGGGUUUGUUUUAUGAAAAAGGACUUGUAAUGGUGAGAGCAUCAUCUGCAGUGAUGAAUUCAUCAUUCAAGUAUGGUACCUCUGUCAGGUACAUGGUUUUGGGAAGGAAAUAAUAAUAUGAGACCAGACGUUGAGCAGGAAAGGUCGCCCGUCUGUGUCGAUUAAGGACCGUACCGAAAGUAGGCUUGCUGAUCUAGGACCCUUUAACUGGCCACAUGCCUCGUCAUGGGUAAGCUUAGCCUCGGUCGGACCAAUACCAGAACAGCUCGCACGCACUGGGAGUGGAGAGAUGGCGAGAGUAGCUUGUACCCUCCGUGGCAAGAGACUGGAAGGUGGGGUGCUGUACUCUCGGAAACAUGGCGGGCACCAUGGCGAGAGUAAAGUGUACCAACCAGGCCAAUGGCUGGACGGUGGAGUACUGUACUCUCGGGUCGCGUGAACCUAUUCUGGUCUUGAGAAACCUGUGGGCGAGUUGACAUAUGCAAGGGUUAAGUGCUACAUAUGUCGUGUGGU